UACGGAGGGGGCUAGCGUUGUCCGAGGUUACUGGGCGUAAAGCGCGCGUAGGCGGGUUGGUAAGUCCGCUGUGAAAGCCCGGAGCUCAACUCCGGAGGGUCGGUGGAUACUGCCAGUCUUGAAGGUGCUAGGGGGAGAUGGAAUUACCGGUGUAGCGGUGAAAUGCGUAGAUAUCGGUAGGAACACCAGUGGCGAAGGCGGUCUCCUGGGGCAUUCUUGACGCUGAGGCGCGAAAGCUGGGGGAGCAAACGGG
This 253-nucleotide ribosomal RNA is filed under the name uncultured bacterium. RNAcentral describes it as "partial 16S ribosomal RNA". It matches the Rfam family "Bacterial small subunit ribosomal RNA", at positions 524 to 776 of the family's 1533-position model. The record is from RNAcentral.